AGCUAGUUAAUAAUUUUACAAAUACAUAAACCCACCAAAGUGGUGAAUAUCUGAUAUGUUUACAAAUAAAUAAACCCACCAGAGUGGUGAGUAGCUGAUAUGUUUACAAAUAAAUAAACCCACCAGAGUGGUGAGUAGUUGAUAUGUUUACAACAAAACGGCUUGGGAUUUGGUCAGCUAACGCUAGCUAACCCACGGGCUGCUCUGAACACUGAUUUCAGACCCGGUGGUUGUUUUUAAGUUUUUUCCUCUGAGCUCUCUGAGGCCUCUGCCUCAAAAACUGCAUCUUGAUCUUUUUCAUCAGACAACUCAAUAUCUGAGUUUUCAUGAACAAUUCGCAGUAACAUUCUCUCUACCUCUGACAGUGAAUACCUUCCUUCGUAAUUGAAAAUACAGAGAAAAAAAGAUUCUUCCAGUGAUCCCUACAGUACUGACUAGAUUCUCUUCAGCCAUGCCAUCCUAUAGCAUGUGUCCCUGGGUCCUGCUGUUAUCUGUGCUUAAGGUCAUAACCGUGCCUGUAUUGACCUAUUCAGUAAAGGUGAAUC
This is a non-coding RNA of Electrophorus electricus (electric eel), 545 nucleotides long. The record is from RefSeq and is a predicted model, not a curated record. NCBI's taxonomy places the organism in Eukaryota, Metazoa, Chordata, Actinopteri, Gymnotiformes, Gymnotidae.